Molecule: ribosomal RNA, 487 nt
Filed under: Morchella sp.
Lineage: Eukaryota; Fungi; Ascomycota; Pezizomycetes; Pezizales; Morchellaceae
Description: partial large subunit ribosomal RNA
Rfam family: Eukaryotic large subunit ribosomal RNA
Source: RNAcentral
UUGUGAGGCAUCUCCGGGUAGGGCGCCGGCCUAAGUUCCUUGGAACAGGACGUCACAGAGGGUGAGAAUCCCGUGCUUGGCUGGCUGUCCCCGUCCAUGUGAGGUGUCUUCGACGAGUCGAGUUGUUUGGGAAUGCAGCUCAAAAUGGGUGGUAAAUUUCAUCUAAAGCUAAAUAUUGGUGGGAGACCGAUAGCGCACAAGUAGAGUGAUCGAAAGAUGAAAAGCACUUUGAAAAUAGAGUUAAAAAGUACGUGAAAUUGUUGAAAGGGAAGCGCUUGAGAUCAGACUUCGGUAAGGGGUGAUCAGCCGUCCUUCUGGGCGGUGCACUUGCCCCCCUCCGGGCCAGCAUCGGUUGAGGCGGCGGGAUAAAGGUCCCGGGAAUGUGGCUCCUUCACGGGAGUGUUAUAGCCCGGGUGAAUGCCGCCAGCUUCGACCGAGGACCGCACCYGCAAGGGUUAGGAUGCUUGGCAUAAUGGUCUUCAGCGAC